CCUACGGGUGGCAGCAGUGAGGAAUAUUGGUCAAUGGACGAGAGUCUGAACCAGCCAAGUAGCGUGAAGGAUGACUGCUCUCUGAGUUGUAAACUUCUUUUAUAUGGGAAUAAAAUGUUCCACGUGUGGGAUUUUGUCUGUCUCAUAUGAAUAAGGAUCGGCUAACUCCGUGCCAGCAGCCGCGGUAAUACGGAGGAUCCGAGCGUUAUCCGGAUUUAUUGGGGUUAAAGGGAGCGUAGGUGGAUUGUUAAGUCAGUUGUGAAAGUUUGUGGCUCAACCGUAAAAUUGCAGUUGAAACUGGCAGUCUUGAGUACAGUAGAGGUGGGCGGAAUUCGUGGUGUAGCGGUGAAAUGCUUAGAUAUCACGAAGAACUCCGAUUGCGAAGGCAGUUCACUGGACUGCAACUGACACUGAGGCUCGAAAGUGUGGGGAUCAAACAGGAUUAGAUACCCCAGUAGUC
Molecule: ribosomal RNA, 460 nt
Filed under: uncultured bacterium
Lineage: Bacteria
Description: partial 16S ribosomal RNA
Rfam family: Bacterial small subunit ribosomal RNA
Source: RNAcentral